GGGAGGCAGCAGUGGGGAAUCUUAGACAAUGGGCGAAAGCCUGAUCUAGCCAUGCCGCGUGAGUGAUGAAGGCCCUAGGGUCGUAAAGCUCUUUCAACUGUGAAGAUAAUGACGGUAGCAGUAGAAGAAACCCCGGCUAACUCCGUGCCAGCAGCCGCGGUAAU
This 164-nucleotide ribosomal RNA is filed under the name uncultured alpha proteobacterium SCR9. RNAcentral describes it as "partial 16S ribosomal RNA". It matches the Rfam family "Bacterial small subunit ribosomal RNA", at positions 343 to 524 of the family's 1533-position model. Lineage: Bacteria; Pseudomonadati; Pseudomonadota; Alphaproteobacteria. The record is from RNAcentral.